Molecule: ribosomal RNA, 460 nt
Filed under: uncultured bacterium
Lineage: Bacteria
Description: partial 16S ribosomal RNA
Rfam family: Bacterial small subunit ribosomal RNA
Source: RNAcentral
CCUACGGGUGACAGCAGUGAGGAAUAUUGGUCAAUGGACGAGAGUCUGAACCAGCCAAGUGGCGUGAAGGAUGACUGUCCUAUGGGUUGUAAACUUCUUUUAUAUGGAAAUAAAAUGUUCCACCUGCGGGACUUUGUAUGUACCAUAUGUAUAAGGAUCGGCUAACCCCGUGCCAGCAGCCGCGGCAAUACGGAGGGUCCGAUCGUUAUCCGGAUUUAUUGGGUUUAAAGGGAGCGUAGGUGGAUUGUUAAGUCAGUUGUGAAAGUUUGCGGCUCAACCGUAAAAUUGCAGUUGAAACUGGCAGUCUGGAGUACAGUAGAGGUGAGCGGAAUUCGUGGUGUAGGGGUGAAAUGCUUAGAUAUCACGAAGAACUCCGAUUGCGAAGGCAGCUCACUGGACUGCAACUGACACUGAGGCUCGAAAGUGUGGGUAUCAAACAGGAUUAGAUACCCCAGUAGUC